Acanthosepion pharaonis is the source of this 90-nucleotide non-coding RNA. NCBI's taxonomy places the organism in Eukaryota, Metazoa, Mollusca, Cephalopoda, Sepiida, Sepiidae. The record is from the annotation of a GenBank genome assembly.
CCACAUCAGUACCUGUAUGAUCACUGAAGUUAAGCAAUAUUGAGCUGGGUUAGUACCUAGAUGGGUGACCACUUGAGAAUACCAGGUGCA